This 504-nucleotide ribosomal RNA is filed under the name uncultured bacterium. Its description in RNAcentral is "partial 16S ribosomal RNA". It matches the Rfam family "Bacterial small subunit ribosomal RNA", at positions 29 to 523 of the family's 1533-position model. The record is from RNAcentral.
AUUGAACGCUGGCGGCAGGCCUAACACAUGCAAGUCGAACGGUAGCACAGAGAGCUUGCUCUCGGGUGACGAGUGGCGGACGGGUGAGUAACGUCUGGGAAACUGCCCGAUGGAGGGGGAUAACUACUGGAAACGGUAGCUAAUACCGCAUAACGUCGCAAGACCAAAGUGGGGGACCUUCGGGCCUCACACCAUCGGAUGUGCCCAGAUGGGAUUAGCUAGUAGGUGGGGUAAUGGCUCACCUAGGCGACGAGCCCUAGCUGGUUUGAGAGGAUGACCCGCCAGACUGGAACUGAGACACGGUCCAGACUCCUACGGGAGGCAGCAGUGGGGAAUAUUGCACAAUGGGCGCAAGCCUGAUGCAGCCAUGCCGCGUGUAUGAAGAAGGCCUUCGGGUUGUAAAGUACUUUCAGCGGGGAGGAAGGCGGUGAAGUUAAUAGCUUCACCGAUUGACGUUACCCGCAGAAGAAGCACCGGCUAACUCCGUGCCAGCAGCCGCGGUAA